This 68-nucleotide transfer RNA is filed under the name Opsaridium microlepis (mpasa). RNAcentral describes it as "tRNA-Glu". The record is from RNAcentral. Lineage: Eukaryota; Metazoa; Chordata; Actinopteri; Cypriniformes; Danionidae.
GUUCUCAUAGUUGAAAACAACAGUGGCUCUUCAAGUCACAAGUCUUAGUGAAAGUCUGAGUGAGAAUU